UGUGCCUACGGGACGCAGCAGUGGGGAAUAUUGGACAAUGGGGGGAACCCUGAUCCAGCGACGCCGCGUGAGUGAAGAAGUAUUUCGGUAUGUAAAGCUCUAUCAGCAGGGAAGAGAAUGACGGUACCUGACUAAGAAGCCCCGGCUAACUACGUGCCAGCAGCCGCGGUAAUACGUAGGGGGCGAGCGUUAUCCGGAUUUACUGGGUGUAAAGGGAGCGUAGACGGCUGGUCAAGUCUGAAGUGAAAGCCCGGGGCUUAACCCCGGAACGGCUUUGGAAACUGAGCAGCUAGAGUGCUGGAGAG
Molecule: ribosomal RNA, 305 nt
Filed under: uncultured bacterium
Lineage: Bacteria
Description: bacterial SSU rRNA
Rfam family: Bacterial small subunit ribosomal RNA
Source: RNAcentral